CCUACGGGUGGCAGCAGUGAGGAAUAUUGGUCAAUGGGCGCGAGCCUGAACCAGCCAAGUCGCGUGAAGGCUGACUGCCCUACGGGUUGUACACUUCUUUUAUAAAUGACUAAAGUGAGGCACGUGUGCCUUUUUGUAUGUACUUUAUGAAUAAGUCUCGGCUAACUCCGUGCCAGCAGCCGCGGUAAUACGGAGGAUCCGAGCGUUAUCCGGAUUUAUUGGGUUUAAAGGGAGCGUAGAUGGGUUGUUAAGUCAGUUGUGAAAGUUUGCGGCUCAACCGUAAAAUUGCAAUUGAGACUGGCAGUCUUGAGUACAGUAGAGGUAGGCGGAAUUCGUGGUGUAGCGGUGAAAUGCUUAGAUAUCACGAAGAACCCCGAUUGCGAAGGCAGCUUACUAAACUGUGACUGACAUUGAUGCUCGAAAGUGUGGGUAUCAAACAGGAUUAGAUACCCGGGUAGUC
This 460-nucleotide ribosomal RNA is filed under the name uncultured bacterium. RNAcentral's name for it is "partial 16S ribosomal RNA". It matches the Rfam family "Bacterial small subunit ribosomal RNA", at positions 338 to 795 of the family's 1533-position model. The record is from RNAcentral.